This 440-nucleotide ribosomal RNA is filed under the name uncultured bacterium. Its description in RNAcentral is "partial 16S ribosomal RNA". It matches the Rfam family "Bacterial small subunit ribosomal RNA", at positions 338 to 795 of the family's 1533-position model. The record is from RNAcentral.
CCUACGGGCGGCAGCAGUGGGGAAUAUUGCACAAUGGGGGAAACCCUGAUGCAGCGACGCCGCGUGAGCGAAGAAGUAUUUCGUUAUGUAAAGCUCUAUCAGCAGGGAAGAAAAUGACGGUACCUGAGUAAGAAGCUCCGGCUAAAUACGUGCCAGCAGCCGCGGUAAUACGUAUGGAGCAAGCGUUAUCCGGAUUUACUGGGCGUAAGGGGAGCGUAGGCGGCCCGCCAAGUCUGAUGUGAAAUACCGGGGCUCAACCCCGGGACUGCAUUGGAAACUGGCAGGCUGGAGUGCCGGAGAGGCAGGCGGAAUUCCUAGGGUAGCGGUGAAAUGCGUAGAUAUUAGGAGGAACACCGGUGGCGAAGGCGGCUUACUGGACCGUAACUGACGUUGAGGCUCGAAAGCGUGGGGAGCAAACAGGAUUAGAUACCCUAGUAGUC